This 274-nucleotide ribosomal RNA is filed under the name uncultured bacterium. Its description in RNAcentral is "partial 16S ribosomal RNA". It matches the Rfam family "Bacterial small subunit ribosomal RNA", at positions 523 to 796 of the family's 1533-position model. The record is from RNAcentral.
AUACGUAGGGAGCGAGCGUUACCCGGAAUUACUGGGCGUAAAGCGCGCGUAGGCGGUUUGGUCAGUCGGAUGUGAAAGCCCUAGGCUCAACCUGGGAAUGGCAUUCGAUACUGCCUGACUAGAGUAUGGUAGAGGGAAGUGGAAUUUCCGGUGUAGCGGUGAAAUGCGUAGAUAUCGGAAGGAACACCAGUGGCGAAGGCGACUUCCUGGGCCAAUACUGACGCUGAGGUGCGAAAGCGUGGGAAGCAAACAGGAUUAGAAACCCGGGUAGUCC